UACGUAGGGUGCAAGCGUUGUCCGGAAUUAUUGGGCGUAAAGAGCUCGUAGGCGGUCUGUCGCGUCUGCUGUGAAAACUCAGGGCUUAACCCUGAGCUUGCAGUGGGUACGGGCAGACUAGAGUGCGGUAGGGGAGACUGGAAUUCCUGGUGUAGCGGUGAAAUGCGCAGAUAUCAGGAGGAAUACCGGUGGCGAAGGCAGGUCUCUGGGCCAUAACUGACGCUGGAGAAAGCGAAAAGCAUGGGGAGCGAACAGG
RNAcentral lists this ribosomal RNA (256 nucleotides) under uncultured bacterium. RNAcentral's name for it is "partial 16S ribosomal RNA". It matches the Rfam family "Bacterial small subunit ribosomal RNA", at positions 524 to 776 of the family's 1533-position model. The record is from RNAcentral.